GAUGAACGCUGGCGGCGUGCCUAAUACAUGCAAGUCGAGCGAACAGACGAGGAGCUUGCUCCUUCGACGUUAGCGGCGGACGGGUGAGUAACACGUAGGUAACCUACCUAUAAGACUGGGAUAACUUCGGGAAACCGGAGCUAAUACCGGAUAAUAUUUCGAACCGCAUGGUUCGAUAGUGAAAGAUGGCUUUGCUAUCACUUAUAGAUGGACCUGCGCCGUAUUAGCUAGUUGGUAAGGUAACGGCUUACCAAGGCAACGAUACGUAGCCGACCUGAGAGGGUGAUCGGCCACACUGGAACUGAGACACGGUCCAGACUCCUACGGGAGGCAGCAGUAGGGGAUCUUCCGCAAAGGGCGAAAGCCUGACGGAGCAACGCCGCGUGAGUGAUGAAGGUCUUCGGAUCGUAAAACUCUGUUAUUAGGGAAGAACAAACGUGUAAGUAACUGUGCACGUCUUGACGGUACCUAAUCAGAAAGCCACGGCUAACUACGUG
This 497-nucleotide ribosomal RNA is filed under the name uncultured bacterium. Its description in RNAcentral is "partial 16S ribosomal RNA". It matches the Rfam family "Bacterial small subunit ribosomal RNA", at positions 28 to 507 of the family's 1533-position model. The record is from RNAcentral.